UCCUCCCAGCCAGCUCAGAUCCCCCUCCCCCUCCCCCUCCCCCUGCCUCUCCUCCACCCUCUCCCCACCUACUGCCCCCUUCCCAACCAGCCUUUCCCCAAGGCCCGACAGCGAAACCUUCACCAGCACAGUGGCCCUGGGGUGCCCACCAGCCUCCCCUGUCGCUAACCUCCAGAGCCCCUGUGCACCCCGACCCACUGCGGGGGCAGCGUAACGGCGGCGAGGCUUUUCUCCGGUCUUCUAUAACUAAGGUGGGGGAAGGAGAGGGAGACAGCAGCUUUCCCUGGCCUAGCCCUUUAAAAGAAAAAAGAGACAAACAGCCACACCGCCCCCGCAGCGCCUCUCACUGGACGACUUUUCUACCCUUCUACCCGGACCCUUCCAAAGCCCACCUCUGGCUGUCUAGGUGCAUCAGCCACAGAGCUACACCAUUGUUGCUACUCACUAUUACUGAAACUAAGUGACAACAAAGCCUGAAUUAAGAGAUCCUUUUCCAUAAGGAAGAGGAGGGGGAGUGAUGAAUUUAAAAGACUAAAGGAAAAAGCUGAACUUGAAAGACCAUGAGUUGAAGAGGGUUGAAGGCUAAAGUUCAGAGGUGUGGUCUAAGAAAGUGUAUCUAGAUGAAUAUGGAUUUUAGUGUCCUAAGGAAAAGUGAAGGGCUUUGCACCUGUGUGUCUCACUUCCUACCUACCAAUCUCUGAUUCCACCACACUCGAUUUUUUGCACCUGAUGGACAUAUGCAAAGCUGCCUUGGAACAGUCACAGCUGUGAUAAAAGCUGCACUAGAAGGACACUAGAAAUACUAAGAACAGAAGGUUCUUUAAGUGCCCUCCCUCCUCAUUUCAGCAGUACAAGAGAACACGUGGCUCUUAAACGCCUGAGCCAAAAUUGCCACUCUUCUGAAUUUCCUGCCUUUUUUCUUGUUUCCUUCCAAGGAGAGCUAGGUUGGUAGAUACCACACUGUGUGUACUCCAUGUCCACAUCAAGCCCUGGUUUGUGUCCUUACCAGACCCUUCCUCUUAUCCCAGUCUGUUUUCUCACGUUUAUUUGAAGAAUAACAUGUCUUAGAAUAUAAAGUCAAGAAGACCCUAAUUGAAGAUGGUGAAGGAUGAGAUGGAUUAAAAAAAAAAAAGGAACCUAUGUAUAACAAAAAGAAUUAAUCCUUUCCUAGCUUCUUGUUAUUCCCUUUGCCUUGCUAAGCUCUGUUUUUAAAGGCAAAAGACUCUUCCAGCAUUAUUCCAUGUUAAUAACACACUGCUAGAGUGGGC
This 1268-nucleotide long non-coding RNA is filed under the name Heterocephalus glaber (naked mole-rat). Its description in RNAcentral is "lncRNA (ENSHGLG00100046959.1)". The record is from RNAcentral. Lineage: Eukaryota; Metazoa; Chordata; Mammalia; Rodentia; Bathyergidae.